UAGGGAAUCUUCCACAAUGGACGAAAGUCUGAUGGAGCAACGCCGCGUGAGUGAAGAAGGGUUUCGGCUCGUAAAACUCUGUUGUAAGAGAAGAAUGACAUUGAGAGUAACUGUUCAAUGUGUGACGGUAUCUUACCAGAAAGUCACGGCUAACUACGUGCCAG
Molecule: ribosomal RNA, 164 nt
Filed under: uncultured bacterium
Lineage: Bacteria
Description: partial 16S ribosomal RNA
Rfam family: Bacterial small subunit ribosomal RNA
Source: RNAcentral